UGGGGAAUAUUGGACAAUGGGCGAAAGCCUGAUCCAGCCAUGCCGCGUGUGUGAAGAAGGUCUUCGGAUUGUAAAGCACUUUAAGUUGGGAGGAAGGGCAGUAAGCGAAUACCUUGCUGUUUUGACGUUACCGACAGAAUAAGCACCGGCUAACUCUGUGCCAGCAGCCGCGGUAAUACAGAGGGUGCAAGCGUUAAUCGGAAUUACUGGGCGUAAAGCGCGCGUAGGUGGUUCGUUAAGUUGAAUGUGAAAGCCCCGGGCUCAACCUGGGAACUGCAUCCAAAACUGGCGAGCUAGAGUAGGGCAGAGGGUGGUUGAAUUUCCUGUGUAGCGGUGAAAUGCGUAGAUAUUGGAAGGAACACCAGUGGCGAAGGCGACCACCUGGGCUCAUACUGACACUGAGGUGCGAAAGCGUGGGGAGCAAACAGG
RNAcentral lists this ribosomal RNA (429 nucleotides) under Pseudomonadota bacterium. RNAcentral describes it as "Proteobacteria bacterium partial 16S ribosomal RNA". It matches the Rfam family "Bacterial small subunit ribosomal RNA", at positions 355 to 776 of the family's 1533-position model. The record is from RNAcentral. Lineage: Bacteria; Pseudomonadati; Pseudomonadota.